Molecule: non-coding RNA, 61 nt
Organism: Caenorhabditis remanei
Lineage: Eukaryota; Metazoa; Nematoda; Chromadorea; Rhabditida; Rhabditidae
Source: Rfam
AGUUUAUCCAGGAAAGCUAUCGGCCGAGUACUUAGAACCGAGCUGCCCUCGGAUAGACUCU